Non-coding RNA from Carica papaya (papaya), 884 nucleotides. The record is from RefSeq and is a predicted model, not a curated record. NCBI's taxonomy places the organism in Eukaryota, Viridiplantae, Streptophyta, Magnoliopsida, Brassicales, Caricaceae.
CCUUGCAGGUGGGAAUUGACACGCCAGAACAUAUUACUGGCCUGAUUAUCUUAAUUUUUGGCCUCAUCUCGUCUGUUACAAGUAAUUGCUACAAAUUUACUAAGACAUGAUUAAAGUGGCAUUGAUGACAGCUUUGCUGUAGUGGUUUUAUCACCUUGUUUUGUUGCUUUUAGCUCAUGCUACAAAAAGCUUCAAAAAGGUGAAGAGAAACGGGAAAUGAAUGGUGUAAGAUGGAAAUCAGCUCGAGUACUAUGGUGAUAUCACUGACCUUUUGACAUUAAUACCCCAUUUCAGAAAUGUAGAUGAAGCCGUUGUAACCAUCAGUCUGUUGCGAUCGGUUGCUGAACUUGCUGUGAGGUUUUGAAAGCUUACAUGCAGACUGCGUGAAUCCUGUACUUUCAUUUUGUAAAUACUGAAUUUGACUGGAGUAGACAAUUGUGUACAGGAAUUUGUAUGAAAAAUGUAAGUUUCAGCUGUAAAUUGUUUCUUCAAAAAAAUGGGGAUGAGCAAGGAGGUUUGAUUCUGAUUCCCGGAGAAUGAUUCUCGGAGAUUCAGCAUCAAACAAGGAAUGAGGAGUUGGCACCAUGUAUGCCUUUCUUUUUUCCUCCUAAAAUUUAAGUCAUUGUUGGAGGGAGAGAAAUGGUUUAAAUAAGCAGUUCGGAAGGCCGUCUGCUGCAGCUGCUGCGGUAGUGGAUACUGAAGCCAAGCAGUAUAGAUCAUUAAACACUCAUCCUUAUUGCAUUUCCUGGAUGAAGUCAGUCAUGAAAAACUUACCCUGCCAGCUGAAAAUUUGUCAUGUUUACUGCGCCUGCAACUUUCCAGGGUGUAGAUAAUAUAUAUGUCUUAAGAUAUUUUGAACCAAACUUAUUUAGAAUAUUUCAAGA